AUACGUAGGUGGCGAGCGUUGUCCGGAAUUACUGGGUGUAAAGGGCGUGUAGGCGGGGAUGCAAGUCAGAUGUGAAAUACUAAGGCUUAACCUUGGGGCUGCAUCUGAAACUGUGUUUCUUGAGUGUCGGAGAGGAAAGCGGAAUUCCCAGUGUAGCGGUGAAAUGCGUAGAGAUUGGGAGGAACACCAGUGGCGAAGGCGGCUUUCUGGACGACAACUGACGCUGAGGCGCGAAAGCGUGGGGAGCAAACAGGAUUAGAUACCCUGGUAGUCCACGCCGUAAACGAUGGAUACUAGGUGUAGGAGGUAUCGACCCCUUCUGUGCCGGAGUUAACACAAUAAGCAAUCCACCUGGGGAGUACGGCCGCAAGGUUAAC
Molecule: ribosomal RNA, 377 nt
Filed under: uncultured bacterium
Lineage: Bacteria
Description: bacterial SSU rRNA
Rfam family: Bacterial small subunit ribosomal RNA
Source: RNAcentral